AUCCGCCAACUUAGGACAGCUGUUUAGUGAUCGCAGAGGUGCGACACCCGUUUUCAGAGCCAUUUACAUCAUUUAGUAGUUAAACAUUUCCUGUAGCAGCUUAGGACAGUACAGUUUGUGAGUUAACAGAUCAGGGUGAGCCUCAGUGUUUCCUGGUGUACUGUACUCAUCCGCCAACUUAGGACAGCUGUUUAGUGAUCGCAGAGGUGCGACACCCGUUUCAGAGCCAUUUACAUCAUUUAGUGAGGAUUCCUGUGUCUGACAGUACUGAACCUGAGGAAUUCACACAUUUUUGAGCAGAGACCAGGUGUGCAGUAUCAACACCUUUUUAGUUACAUUUUGACAUGAAUUGUUGGAGAGAACUUGAAUACCAUGGCCAUGAGAUAUGACUUUAGCUAUAGAAUGCAAAAAUAUGCAGUAUUGUUGCAUUUGUGAUGAAAAGAAAGACAAUUUUCCCAUUUUUUACUGAAAAAUAAGCUUUUUUUUAACCAAAAAAAUUCA
Mercenaria mercenaria is the source of this 501-nucleotide long non-coding RNA. RefSeq lists it as uncharacterized. The record is from RefSeq and is a predicted model, not a curated record. NCBI's taxonomy places the organism in Eukaryota, Metazoa, Mollusca, Bivalvia, Venerida, Veneridae. The transcript has 3 exons.